This 6297-nucleotide long non-coding RNA is filed under the name Sus scrofa (pig). Its description in RNAcentral is "lncRNA (ENSSSCG00040076261.1)". Lineage: Eukaryota; Metazoa; Chordata; Mammalia; Artiodactyla; Suidae. The record is from RNAcentral.
UUUUUUUUUGGCCAGAAACUCUAUACAACCUUAUCACUGACACCUCUCUGCAGUUUCAAAUUCCAACUUUGUGCCAAAUCCCCAUUUCCUGCUGCUUAAUUUCCAUUCAUUUACUCUUGUUUUUGCUUCUUCUGCCAUUCCCAGCAUGGACCAGCUCCAGCCCAGCUUCUUCUAAUUUUUUAAGGAAGGCUUCCCAUCGAGUGCUAUUGGAAUCUGAGCCUACGCUCCAUGCCAGUGACUGGCCAUUGUUUAUAUUACCUAACAACAGUUGCCAAUAGGAUGGCUUCUUUCCUUUUCUUUGUUUCUCUCCUGGAGUGUAUAUACUAAGGCCCAAGAGAACUUUCUCCCUGCAUAUGGUGACCCAGUGGGUCUGGCUUUAUUAUUACUUCAGUCGAAUCUGAAGUAGCCUUUUCCAUCUCUUUUUCAAGAGGAAAACAUCAAAUAAAAUCGAGCCUGGAUGUUUUGUUUACCCUGCUCAUAGGGACCUGAGCUGCUUCAGCCUGUGCUAAAGUACUGUAAGGACUGGGUCCUUCGGAGCCUGGCCAAGUUAGGAAGUAAGAAGACAAGGAAAAAGGGGUGGGUUGGGGGGAUUUGCUGAGACCAAGCUUACAGAGAGGUGGAGGAAUGGCCACUCUUGGGCUCAAGGACAUCUUAGAUUUGUUAAGACAGAAGCAACAUAGGGUGGAUUUUCUGGCUUCCAGGGCGGGAAAGAUUCAUGUUUCAAAUAUGCUCUUAUAAGCAAAUGAAUUGGGGUAUGAAAAGGUAACCAACAGUUUCCUUGCCACAGUGGAAGUCUUGUUUGGGGAGGUUUUCUGGCUUUUCAUUUUGUUCCUCCUAAAUCCAUAGCUCAACCACCAGCUUGGUCCUUCACACCAGAGCCAUUCUGCCAUCAUUGCAAAUAUCUCUGCCUUCAAGUUCAGCUCCCUGCUUUCUCUCCCUCUGGGUUUUGUUACCUCUAGUCACACCUCUGCAGGCCCAUCGAAAACAUGGCAUCCAAAUCGGAGGCGUUAAAAGUCAGGAAUGGGGACCCCCUCAGAAGCAAAUACCAUCAGGGCUGGAGAAAAGAUAAUUGUCCAUGGUGACAAAGGCUCCUGAUCACCUCUCCUCCCACCUGUCCCCACUGCAACCCCUAAAUUGUAGAGCAGCCCCCUUAAACCCCUAUUACACCAUGUUUUCUCUGUCCGUCUGGCCUCUGGUCUCCUGAUAUCAGGUUCUCUCUGAAGCUGCACUUAAAAACUUUUUGUGUCUAAGAGAAAAAGCUUCCAUCCCACAACGUUUGAAAUGUUCUCAGAUACUUUCUUUCCCCAGCUUGCAGAGCAAUAAUAUUACUUCUCAGGAGAGCAAAAGAAAGGUGCCUUCUUACACGGUUUUAUGGUGUCGAUGUGCCUCUAAAACAUUACCUUUUGUUGAACGACUUCAUUCACAUUUUAAGAGCAAAGUCGUUUUUCCGGUAGAAUAGAGUUGGGUUAUCCCCCUGACCCAGCCCAGGCCAACAGUCUCUCAAGCUGUAUACUGUGAAUAACACCAAAGACCUGAAAGCAUUUCUCACAUUUUUAAAACUGUGUGUGUGUGUGUGUGUGUGUGUGUGUGUGCGUGUGCGUGUGUGUGUGUGUGUGUGUGUGUUUGUGUGAACGCCAUUUUAGAUAAAUUGCUAUGGAGCACAGGUAUUUAAAUGAGCUAGUUGAGCUGGAUGAGACUUGUUUCAGGUUUGUUGCUAGAGAGCAAUAAUAAAAUGAUUUUUUUCCAGAAACUAUUUAAUUUCUUCGUAAAAAUGUUAAAUAUUUUUAAAUGUGUAUAUCUAACAGUACUGAAAAUGGAAUAAACACCAUAGUGUAUAGAAAACUGAAUUGGACAACAUAUUAAUGAAUAAGGGAAUACAUGAUUUCAAAAAGAAAACAAGUCCACAGUCGUACCCAAGGUGUAAGUCUAAGGCAGGGUAAAAUGAACAAUCCAAAUCCCAGACCAUUUGUCUUUCCUGGUUUCUGGCAGGGCUACCCUUGCACCCAUCUAUUACCCUGAAGCCAUUAUCUUCAAGCCUCUGGGGUGGGAGUGGGGGAUGGAGAAGAACUUCCCUGGCAACUCAGAGAUUACGACCAUCCACCUUCACUUCGUUCCUCCAGCCUGGGGUCUCUGAACCAUGAAGGGCAGAUUCAGCCCUUGCUCAGGGAUGUAGGGGUUCUCAGGACCAUGACCUCAUUUGAAUUCCUGAUGGAAGGGAAGUCUGUCAUCAGAUGGACAGUCUAUUUUAAAAGAAGUAGGAGUUCUAAGAGAAGGACCAAUUCCACACCCCAGGGUCAGCUGUAGCUCUCUUCCCCCAGCUGGGGGUAGGCUCCCUAAAGUGAGCCUGUAACAUAGGCAGUAACGCCCAUUGUUCCAACCACGGAAGGCGGAGAAAAACCAUUGCCUCUGAAAACUUGAUACACAAAUAAACAAUUCGAUAGCCAGAAUAAAUAGUCAUCAGAUCUCACCAGUGUAAGAAAUGAAUGAGGGAUGAAAACUGGGGGGGGGGGGGGGUGCAUAGUUCUCAUUUGUCACUUCAACAGUCAAGAUGAACCCCACUGGAAAGGUUCAAUUUGCUGUAAAUUUUCUGCUUUGCUGGAGGAUACUUGCGGAUGCUUUUCACACAAGAUGAGUCCGUAAAAGAAGAAAUGGUCCCCUGAAAAUAUUUUACAUAUUCAAGAGCCUUUACUCUUUGAAACCAUUCUUUUCCUAAAGCAUCAUCAAAAGGUCUCCUGAGAGCUGCAGGUGUUGAGUUGGUCAGAAGAAUCACUGGUAUAUUCUUCCAAAAGCCAGAAUAUAAUAUGUAAGUAAUUAAAUCUGCUUAAAGGUAUCUUUCCCCACCUCUUUCAAUUCCCUAAUUUUAGAUUCCUAAAACUAUGAAUGUUAAUAAUGCUACUGAAAUAUAAAUAUAAAUGCAUAUGAAUAUACACAUAUAUCCAGAUAUGUUUUUAUAAUGUUAGAUGUAAAUACUGAUGUCAAUAACAGGAUAACUGCCCUGCCCUCCAGAAGCAAGAAGUAUUGGCCCCAAUAUAACUAUGCCAGGUCCCAGGAGAUGAUGGGAUUAGCUUCUACCUGUCUGUUAUCCAGACAUAUCUGAAUCUAGCCUCUCAACCCAAAGCCAUCAUGGGUUAACACCAUGGGUUAAUUCAUCAUGGGUUAACACCACACACUUUCUUGUAUCUACACAGCCUGACCCCGCCCUCCCCCCAAAAAAUCUGCCAGUGAGUGACAUCAACAUGUUUUCCUAGGCUAACAAGCUUCUCUGUUCUUCAGCAGCCAAAAUCUUUUAAGUGGCUCUUAAACCAAGACAGCCCAAGGAAGAAUAAUGUCAAACCCAAGCCAUAGUUCCGUGGUGUGAACACAAAAUCUACAGAACCCAAGUUCAAAAUGAUUUACAGACAGUUUGAUCAGAGGCAGAUGUAAAAUGGUGUCUCACUGGAGACAGGCCAGGGGCUAUCAAUCCGAAUCCCCUACAACAAGUGAUGUCAUUAGUCAGAAUCAAUGCAUUAUGGAGACAAUUUUCUCUUUUGUCUCUUGGCCCAGGGAGUUUUCCGAGUUGCAUUUCAUCACUAGAUUGCAAGGCACUCGUAUUACAAAGUGGCUGACAGGAAUCACAACCAGGACUCUGUCACGUGGUUCCUUGGAGGAGUAGGGGGAAGGUUUAAGGAUUAAAUCCAAUUAGACAUGGGAGACUCGGAAAAACUAGUCCAAGGUCUUUGUUGGCAGGUCAAUGUUGAACUUGUCUAAUCCAUUCCUGUUGUUUAUAUAACUUUGAAGGGCAUGACUUUGGACUCGCAGGUGCAAGGAUAAUAUGGGGAGAGAUGCUGAGUUCAGGUCUCCCCUGAAAGAAAUCACCUGAUCACCUUGGCUUGGCUGAGACCUAGGGAACGACUCAUUGCUCAAGGCCAAGACUUCUAGCCUUUGGCCUCUGUGCCCUCACUUUCCUCCUCCCCAAGGCCAGAGAGCCCCAUUUACCUCUAAGAUCUUCACAUCCCCAACUCUCUUCUUAAAUCCUUAAAGAGGAGUUCUCGUUGUGGCUUGGCGGUAACAAGCCCAACUAGUAUCCAUGAGAACAUAGGUUCGAUCCCUGGCCUCGCUCAGUGAGUAAGAUCCAACAUUGCCAUGAGCUGUGGUGUAGGUGGCAGACGUGGCUUGGAUCCUGCCACUGCUGUGGCUGUGGUGUAGGCCAGCAGCUGCAGCUCCAAUUUGACCCCCAGCCUGGGAACUUCCAUAUGCUGCACGUGUGGCCCUAAAAGGCAAAAAUAAACAAACAAAUAAAUAGAUAAGUACCCCUAAAGAAUGGCCGGGGUUUGGCCAUUUAAUGUGAGAGCAGUUCUGUAACACCCUCCCCAGGUGUCAACAUGUGGACAAUCCUUCUUUAACCAUUGAUGUUAUCAAGGAAAUUUUACAUCAUACAUAGCCUCAUGCUGUCUUUUAAGAUCUUCCAAAGCUCUCUGAAGAGGUAUGAUAGAGACUAGGAAUGAAAACAGGAAAAUUAAAGAAAAUGAGACUCUCAUUUUCUAACUGCCUUCAAGCUCUUCCUAGAGAAAAAUCCUCUAUUCGGUCCCAUGUGUGUCUCCAAUACAGGGUAUUUUUCCAGCUCACUGGUAUUUCAUAAACACCAUUUGUUGUCAUGUGGUUAAAUUAAAACUGAGGAUAUCAAACAUCAAACAGUAUGUUAAUGUCAAGUAUGCUUGAAUAAAUAGUAAGAGUUCAACUGAAUGGAAUAUGUGGAUUGCUAGCUAAUUAAGCAAGAAGCAGGUGUGAAAAAAAUCUAAUUUAGGCAAUUUUUUAUAAUUAAUAAUGUUUACUUGUAGUACCCUUCUAAUGGGGCUCCAGUUUAGCCUCUUGUGAAUUGCUAGGAGUUUACUCCAGUAUUUUAAAAUUAUAAUUGAAUGGAGAGUUUUACGAGAUAUCAGGUUUCCUUGCUGAUGAUGAAGCGCUCUGUACAUAGAAAAUUCCUGACAGUACUUUGUAUCAAUAGGAUCAAUUAGCAAGUCACCCCCAGCAAUUAAAACUUAAAACACGCACCCAGGCACACACCCACACCUAAAAGUUCUCUUGUAAACCCCAGCACCAGCGGAGGUAGAAGAGGGCUUGGAUGAACCAACUUGAAGGAAAAUAUUCAGACCAAUCACUGGACAUAGAUGAUGAGGGCUUUGUUGAGUGUCUGCAAACAGCAGUGACAUAGAACAUUUUGUUACAAUUAGGGACCAAAAAAUUAAGAUCCUAUCUAAACUGUCCUGGCAAAUUGCAUACCACCAAUCAAUUAAUCCAAGUAUACAUUUAACUUUGGUUUUCUUUUCCAAGAAGCCAAAUGGAAGAAGAGGAGGAGAAAAUGUCCACAGAUGCGAAAACAGACCUGGACUAUUUCACAGACGUGACAUAUCUACUGCAUUUAAUUAAAAGAAGAAUGUAUGAGAACAAUGUAUCCUUCUCAAUUGGGUCGAGGGAACAAAACAGGACUGGAUUAGAUAGGACAACUGUAAUCUCGAGAGACAGUCCCAUGUUUAAUGGGAGCACCACAUGUUUGAUAUGCAGGGAAGUAAGUGGGUGUCCUGGACACAAUCCACUAUUCAUCAUAAUACCACAGCCCUGUUCAUUCCCAGAGAAGAGACUGAAAACCAUGAAACCAUAUGUAGAAUAUUAAAAAUCAUUUAACGUUAAAAUGCACAUAAUGAAAGCAUGCACUUUGGGCAAGGCUGCAGUCCAAGAGAGCUCUGAGAAAUCUCCAGUUCAGUAGAUAAUGCUUGUAAAGGUAAACUGAGUUGUACACACAAACACACACACACAUACACGUACUUUUAUAGGAACUCAGUCCUUAGUUCUGCGAUGCUGCCUUUUCUCACUGGUUUCCUUGCUGAUUUCUGUAGUGAGGUCAGUAUUAAUAAUUGAUGGAGCAAUGAUACCUAGAGCAUCAGUACAUUAAUUUAUAAUUAAAGAUGAGAAACACCAGUUCCUCUCCCACCACCCAUCGGUUGGUAUUAAGUUUUAUAGACACACACACACACACAAAAUCUAUGGCAGAUAUUACAUUGUUCUGUAGACAGAGUCAAUAACCUUACUCUAUUUCCAUGCUCUUUUCAUUGCCACUGAAUUAAUCACAGCCCUGCCCCAAACCACACGGAAUUUUAUUUCCCCUAAGAGCGAUGUUUACUUUGGGUUACUUUGUUGGAACUCGGAGUACUUAUUCAGUCUAUAAAGAUUUAGGGUAACGCAUUUUGUUCGGCAACCUUAAAAAGCAGGCACUGACAGACCUGUCUUACACUGCUUUGCUCCCCUGCGGAUUCUGUAUGC